This is a small nucleolar RNA of Callithrix jacchus (white-tufted-ear marmoset), 94 nucleotides long. Lineage: Eukaryota; Metazoa; Chordata; Mammalia; Primates; Cebidae. The record is from Ensembl.
UGCUUUUUGUAAUUCUUAAGUGUGAUGAUUGGGUUUCCACACUCAAACCUGAGUGUGAACCCUUUUACAACAGCAGCACAUUAUGAGUCUGAUG